RNAcentral lists this ribosomal RNA (429 nucleotides) under Acidobacteriota bacterium. RNAcentral describes it as "Acidobacteria bacterium partial 16S ribosomal RNA". It matches the Rfam family "Bacterial small subunit ribosomal RNA", at positions 355 to 776 of the family's 1533-position model. The record is from RNAcentral. Lineage: Bacteria; Pseudomonadati; Acidobacteriota.
UGGGGAAUUUUGGACAAUGGGGGAAACCCUGAUCCAGCCAUCCCGCGUGUGCGAUGAAGGCCUUCGGGUUGUAAAGCACUUUUGGCAGGAAAGAAACGUCAUGGGUUAAUACCCCGUGAAACUGACGGUACCUGCAGAAUAAGCACCGGCUAACUACGUGCCAGCAGCCGCGGUAAUACGUAGGGUGCAAGCGUUAAUCGGAAUUACUGGGCGUAAAGCGUGCGCAGGCGGUUCGGAAAGAAAGAUGUGAAAUCCCAGAGCUCAACUUUGGAACUGCAUUUUUUACUACCGGGCUAGGGUGUGUCAAAGGGAGGUAGAAUUCCGCGUGGAGGAAUAAAAUGACUAGAUAUGCGGAGGAACACCGAUGGCGAAGGCAACCACCUGGGAAAACACUGACGCUCAUGCACGAAAGCGUGGGGAGCAAACAGG